AUCAGACCAUAUGUUUUCUUAUAAGCAAACUAUAUUGAUGGUUGAAAGAUUUUAUAUGCUUCUGAUGCGUGAUCCUUCUAAUGCUAGGUGAUUUGUUUCUUGGAAUUUGAAGGAGGAAGACAAUGAAGCGUGGUGUUUAUCUAUCAAUAUGCCUUGUGUUCUGGUUGUACUUCAUAGCUAGUUACAUUGUAUUCUGUACUGGUCUGGUUGUAUGAACACUAUGUAAAGAUUGUAAUAGGCUAAUUUUGGCUAUCAUUUCAAGUAUAUAGUUCCGUUUCAUUUGAAAUAUUUGUCAUUUGUGUACUGUGAAAAUGUGAGAAAUAGAAAGUUGAUGAGUUGGACUUACUUAUUGGUAGAGGCCAAGGCCCAAAACGUGAAUAGCAUGCAAAAAGGCUGAGGCCCAAAAAAGAAGUCAACUUUUAAAAGGCUGAGGCCCAAAAAGAAAUGGACCGUAAAGUUCUGUGUCUUAGAAACCAAAAAGGCCGAAUUGCUGGGCUUGGCCCAUGUAGCUAGCGUAAAUUGACAGGAAAAAACAUAUGUUAAAGGCUGAAUUAAUGGGCUAGGCCCAUGUAAAACACUCAAUCGGACCGGGCUGAUUGUUGUUAGUGACCUUUUCAAUUCGUCGUAGUUUUGCCACGUCAGAUUGCCACGUCGGAUCCGACGUGGCCUGGGCAGACAGCCAGUGACCAAAACAAAAGGUCAUGGGUUCUACGACCUUCUGUUUUGGUCGUAAAUGUCUACGAGAAGGUCGUUAAUUUCAGUUUACGACUGCUAGCUUUUGACCUUCUGUUUUUGGUCACAAAAAGGUCGCAAAUAAAAAACAAUGACCUUUCAGUGACCAAUAGUCAAGGUCACAAGUUGACAUAUUUCUUGUAGUGAUAGAAAAGGACAUCUUGUUGGUUUGGAGUUUGAGCCAUACCAAAGAGAUUGCCAAGUGAAGGUGGUAUGUUCCGUGAUAAAUUGUUGCUUGCAAUGUCUAAAUACUGAAGAUGCUUCAACAUUGUGAGUUCAGCAGGGAUCCUACCAGAGAACAUGUUCGAGUGCAAUCGCAAAAACUGCAAGUAUGGUAACUUUGAAUCAAUCCAUGUCGGUAAGCCCCCAGAAAAUUUAUUGUUUGCGAUAUCAAGGAAUUUUAGCCCUUUGCACAUCUGAAAAGACGAUGGGAAUCCCCCUGAAAGAUUGUUACUGUUCAAGUUAAGCACGGUGAUACUUGAAGUUUUCGGGACACGAGGACAACUCAAACAGGGAGCAUGGAAUGGUCCCAGAAAAAUAAUUUUUGAACAACACUAGUAUUUCUAGCUUCGGUGCUCCAAUAUUUGACGGAAGUGAACCUGAUAGAUUGUUCCUAGAGAGGUCUAAGUAGAUUAGGUUCUUUGAGAGUUCUGGAAUUGGGCCAACAAGUUGGUUAGAACUGAUAUCCAACAUAAGUUCUAAUCCACCAAACUGAAAAUUUGUGGGAAGCCUCCCGACAAUCUGAUUUCCCGACAAAUCCAAGGCCCGAGCAUGGCGUGUCGCAGUCCAAAACUCAACAGGUAUAGAAUCAUGUAUACCUGUGUUUGAAAGAUCAGGCACUACAGGAAUCAAGGAAUUUGCCAUCAGCUUAUUCUUUGUCGUCUGCUAGCAGACGACAAAGAGGGUCUUUGCCGUCUGCUUUCAAAAAGCAGACGGCAAAAAACUAACUGAUGGCAAAUAUAUUGUUUGCCAUCUGCCAUUUCUUUGCCGUCGGCCAGCGGACGGCAAAGCUACAGAAGGCAGACGGGAAAGAGCCCAACUGGGCCCCACUGGACCCUGCGGCUGGUUAAUCCAGACGGGCUGGCUGAAGCGGACGGCAAAGGUUCCAAUGGCAGACGGCAAAGAAACACUCACGACAAAGAGAAAGCACAGCUCGCGGAUCAAUCACCUGGAUCGAUGAGUUGGCAAGAUCUCAGACACACGUUCUGUCGGACGCAUACCCCACACACCCACGAUGCACGCGCCCCCACGGCAACACCCGCGCACCCCACGCCCCCACUGCCUGCCUUAUCCAUCGGUCUCACCCACCCACCACUUCUCUCUCAUCUCUCUUCCUGCUCCCGAUCUCACCCACCUCACCACGUCUCUCUCUCAUCUCCCUCCCUGCUCCCGAUCUCACCUACCCGCCACCACCCGCCACCGCCCCGGCCCCGUCCUCGCCGGCCACCACAUCGCCUGCCGGCCGCGGCCACUUCCGCCUUCACCCCCAGCUCCGUCGCNNNNNNNNNNNNNNNNNNNNNNNNNNNNNNNNNNNNNNNNNNNNNNNNNNNNNNNNNNNNNNNNNNNNNNNNNNNNNNNNNNNNNNNNNNNNNNNNNNNNNNNNNNNNNNNNNNNNNNNNNNNNNNNNNNNNNNNNNNNNNNNNNNNNNNNNNNNNNNNNNNNNNNNNNNNNNNNNNNNNNNNNNNNNNNNNNNNNNNNNNNNNNNNNNNNNNNNNNNNNNNNNNNNNNNNNNNNNNNNNNNNNNNNNNNNNNNNNNNNNNNNNNNNNNNNNNNNNNNNNNNNNNNNNNNNNNNNNNNNNNNNNNNNNNNNNNNNNNNNNNNNNNNNNNNNCUGGCCGCCAUCUCGCCGGUCGGCCCCGGCCUCGCUGGCCGCCAUCUCGCCCGCCGGCCCCGGCCCGGCCCCCUCGCUCGUCCCCUCGGCGGCCUCCGUGCCCCGUCGCCCGUCGCCCCCAGCGGAAGCCGUGCCCCGUCGCCCCCGAUGGCAGCAGCAGCACCGACGGCUGAGCUCCCGGAAGAGCAAGGACCGCCAUCGAUCUGGACGUCGAGGCCGGGGCGGUUGCGAGGAUGAGGAGCGAGCUCACGUUCGCCAGGCACUUGUUCAUCCGGGUCCACGCUGUUCAUGUAAAUGGAGUAAUUUUGUGUAGAUGGAGCAGAUGCAAAUCUAUUAUGUGUAAAUAGACUAAUUUGGUAUUGUGAAAUUUGUUCAUUUGUCGUCGAUUGUUGGAACAAAGCUUAUAUGGAUACUGUGGUGUACUUGGGCUGCUGGUUCACUAUAUUUUAAUAAACAAAAUCCUUUGAUGUCUCUGAUUUUAAUAAACGUGUAGAUGGACAUUUUUUGCCAUCUGUUAUUAAUCGGCAGACGGCAAAACAUUAGUUUGGCAGACGGCAAAACAUUAGUUUGGUAGACGGCAAAGCCUCUGUUACCUCCGUUAGCACCUAACGUGGCUAACACCUACUAUUUGCCGUACACCUUCUUUGCCGUCCGCCACUUACGACAAAGGCCUCUUUGCCGUCCGCUACAAAAAGCAGACGACAAAUAAGGUGUUUGCCGACGCUGUCUUUGCCGGAGCUGUUUGCCGUCCGCGGCUGACGGCAAAGCUCUUUGCCGUCCGCCGUCCGUGUCUUUGCCGUCCGCCAUGGCUGAUGGCAAAGAAGCUGAUUCCUGUAGUGAAGAGUGUUGAUUCUUGACCUGACAACCCAUAUUGGAAAUUGGGGCACUAGGAUGCAAGAUCUAAAGCCUCGUGAAGUUAAUUUGAAUGGAGCGUUCCAUGUGUUGUUGACCAGUAUAGUUAAGGAAUUAUCAGAGAUCCACAAGACCUGUAGGCUACUCAGAUUUGUGAAAUGGUGUUCGGUAAGUGUACCAAGCAGGUUGUUUGAGUUCACCAGUAACUCCUUCAGUUUUGUAAGUUUCCGUAUACCAACUUGUAUCUCUCCGGAUAGAUCGUUAUUAUUGAGCCAAAGUGUGGUCAAGCUACUAAAAUCCUCUAGUCGAUUUGGAAGGCCCCCAGUCAGAUUGUUGUAAUCCAAGUACAACUCCUGUAACCCAUAUGCUGGCAGUCUAUGAAAUAGAUCUUCUGUGCUUCCGCUAAUGGAGGUUUUUGAUAGCAUGAGCACUUUUAGUCUUUUGAGUUUCUUGAAUGUUGAUGGCACCAUGCCCAUGAAGUUGUUUCCCAUCAGAAUCAUGUGUUGAAUGGAGGUCAUGUUUCCAACUGCAGCAGGUAUAGGACCUUGGAUUCUGCAGUCAUACAUACUUAAAUGUCGAAGCAUCGGUAGAUCCCAAACCAAGUGGUGGGCUCCCAAGGAUGAGUUAAAGGGGUUGGACUCGAGACAGAAGACCUCUAGUGAUGUAAGGUUGGAGUGCAACGGUGGAGGCAUAAUGUUCCGAAGCCCACAAAAUGCUAGGUCAAGGAUUACCAGAGAGGGAAGCAUGUUGACAGUAUGGGUCCAGUCGAUGGAAGCACUAAGGUUCACCGCGGACAUGAUGAGGUACUGUAGCUUCCGCAAUCGCGACAUCCAUGAAAGAUCAGGUGAGUAACAACCCGGUAGUUGACUCGAGAGGUCCAGACUGACUAGAUUUGAAAGGUUCCCAAGGUGGGGAGGGAUUCGCCCACCGAAGAACGAAUCACUGAGGUCGAGAUGAGUCAGGCUCCGGAGGCCACCGAUGAAUUCAGGAAUGGAUCUCCCACCGAAGUAGUUGGAUGAGAGGUCUAGGUGCUUCAGAUGUCGGAGAUUGAGCAAAGAGGGGUUUAUCUCACCUCCUAUGUUUCCCUCCACAAGCGUACCAUGGUUGUAGCUGUUGACCUGGAGCUUGAUGACGUGGCCGGUCUGGUUGCUGCACCCGACGCCCAUCCACCCGCAGCAGUCCUCCUCGGCCCGCCACGACGAAAGGUAGUUGGUCGGAUCGGUGAGGCCGGCCUUGAAGGCGAGAAGCGCAUCUCGCUCGCGGGGGAUGCAGAGGGCGCCUCCCGCUCCCGGCGCUGAUGGUGGUGGCGGUGGCCGGAGUGCAGGCACGGCUGGGGCUGACGAGCUACGGAGGAAGACGAGGCACCACGUCGCCAGGAGGAUCGCCGUAGCUUGGAUCGGCGGCCUUGCCCUGGCCAUUUUGGGGAGUGGACCAGUGGGUAAGUACGUAUUGUGUAGUAGCCUCGGCCAUGCACGCCUUGAUUUAAGGAGCCAGCAGAGUACGUUCGUUCCACCCGUGUGGCCGUGUCAGUGUCAAACUACCCUGCGCGCUACGCCCGCUGGAUCGGCACGCUGUAGUAACAGCGAAAUGUCCCAUCCACCGGGUCAGCCUGACUCAGACGGGAACGGUAAAGAGUCCAUAUUAGUUGACUGACAAACAAGCGGACCAAGAGCCCACAGCUUGGUUUACAUUUAAUUGCUAGCUAGCAACUUAUAUGCACGAUUCCACGUAUCGCUUUGCACAGGUUUUCUACAGUAUUUUUGAAGUACUGCUUCUUAUUUUUUUCGAGUGAAGUUUCUGUUUAAUUUUCAUGAUAUAUAAAUUUUCCCAUAUGAAAAAAAUAAAAUAAUUAUCAAUAUGCAAUUAUUUUUUAGUUUUUAUCUUUAUUCUAUUUUCAUUAUUGUGUACCUUGAAGAGAUAAACAUGAGAUUUUUCUAAAAUUUAUGUGGAUAUAAAAAGUUAACAUAUAUUAAAAAUUAUUGUGUAAAUUUAUGCAUCUUCAUUGAGGACCAUAAGUACGAGAAAUUAUUGUGUAUCUUCAUUCUAUUUUUUAAAUGCACAAUUAUUUAAAAUUGACAAUAUUGUAUUUUAAAAACUGUUCAAUGUGUAUUAAAUAUUAUUGUUUGACAAUAAUAAAUUCAAGAAAUGUACUAAUAUGUUAAGCAUGUUUGUAGAAAUUUAAGAAUAAUAAUACACAAUAUUUUUUAAUAUGCAUUCAACAUUUUCAAAAAACACGGUGAGCAUUUUCUAAAAUAAUAUGAAAAUGAAAAAUGAGCAUGAACGUGAACGUGUAUUUCAAAAAAUGUUCACCGUGUUUUUAAUAUACGUUCAACUUUUUAAUUCCACAUCAAUUUUAGAAAAAGUUCAUGUUUAUCUCUUCAAAGUACAAAAUAAUGGCUAUAGAAUAGAGAUAAAUAAACAAUAAUGUCAUAUUGAUAAUUAUUUUAUUUUUUCCAUAUGAAAAAUUUAUGUAUCAUGAAAACUAAACAGAAACUUCACUCGAAGAAAAACAAGAUAAUACUUGGAAAUAAGUAAAAAGAAAAUUACUCCAAUGAAAGCAUAAGCAGAGCGAUACGUGCAAUCAUCUAUAUAAACUGCAUGCUGAUAAUUAAGCGCAAACCAGACCGUGGCCGCCUUGUCCGCUCGAUUGUGAGGCGAUGAGGAUGUUUCAUGUUCCAAUUCCCUGCACGCUCGCUUUCUGGUAUUUUUUGCGGGCACUCAAUACAGCGGCAUACGUUCAGAGGCACCGUAUUUGAACGCCCAGACAAGUUACGACACCGUUUUUGUGUAUUUUUCAAGUUUAGGCACCGAACUAAUCGCGCCUAACAAGUUAGGACACCUGUAAUGUAUUUAACUCUAAAAGAUUUCACAGACCAACUGUUGGGUGGUGGCGAAGCGCGCCAAAUCUUGAUUGAACUCCCGAGGGACAAACAAUCACACACGGCUACAUCUCACGCCGUGAAUUCGGGGAAUGACCACGUCCAUGCCCAUGCCAAACUAUGUUGAGUUCAGCUGUGGCAUUAUAUGCUUUUUUUUGCGAGAAAACUUCUGAUCUAUUCAUCUUUAAUCAUGGCAGUACAACGAACAUCAGAAAUAAUAAAAAUUACAUCCAGAUUCGUAGACCACCUAGCGACGACUACAAGCAAUGAAGCAAGCCGAAGGCGCGUUGCCGUCAUCGCUCCUCCCUUGCCGGAGCCGGGGCAAAAUUUGUUGUAGUAGACAGUCGGGAACUUGUCAUGCUAAGGCCUCAUAGGACUAGCGCACCAUAAUAGCAACCGUCGCCGAUGAAGAGUAGCGUAUGUCCAUAGAAGGAUCCAACCUGAAAACACACCUCAAGUGUAUGUCCAUAGAAAUACAGUAGCAGCAAUUAUCAUACAAAUUAUACCUGAACACAAAUUUCAAUGAGAUCAGCCCUAACAAUCGCCUUGGUGUCAGUCUGGAGAAGCUCAUCAUCCUUCCUGACAAUCAGCUCCCUCAGACCCCAUCUAUGUCUUGCAGGCCACCAGGUCUGGGAAAGUAUCGGGUGCUCCCAACCAUGGGGUACUCCCGGUGCUUCAAUGUAAAAAAAUAUAUUUUUAAGUGUUUCAAAAAAUUCCAAAAAAAAUUGUGAAUGGUUAGAAGGAAUGUCAUUACAACCCCUAAAAAUUUUAGGUCCAAAUUCGAAACGCACAUUGAGAAACAAAAAUGUGAAAUAUAGCAUAAAUAGUGUAAAGGAAAAGACAAAAGCAACAUUGACACUAUUCAAGUCUGGAUUUGUCUUUUUUAUUUCUCAAUGUGCAUUUCAAGUUUGGACCUGAAAUUUUUAGGAGUUGUAGUGGCAUUCCUUAUGAAUACUCAUACUUUUUUCUGGAAUUUUUGAAAACAUUUAAAAAUAUUUUUUUGACAUUGAAGCAUCGGGAGUACUCCAAGGUUGGGAACACCCGAUACUUUCCCCACCAUGCCUAAACUGAAGCGAAAGAAGAAGAUAUUAGCAUACUGUGUACAGGUAAGGUUAACAUGCAUGAUGCAUGCUCUUGUGCGUGUUACCAUAAUGCAUUUUUUCAAGUUCCACAGAAACUAGAUACCUAAUUUAUCUGCAGUUGUCUAAACAGUGCAAAAAGAUGUGCAAAAUAAACUAUAGAUGCCAUAAUGUGUAGUACACCCGAGAGUAGCGACUACUUUCUGCUUUGUAUACCACAAUCUUACAUGUUAUCAUUUUUUUUCUUCGAAAAGAAGGAUUGCCCCCGGUCUCUGCAUCGGCAUGAUGCACACAGUCAUCUUUAAUAAUUAUUUACCAGAGUCUGACAACAUGAUCACAGGGAUCAACUCGAAGCCACCUACUAGGCGAACAAAGUCGCUACACCUACAAGUAUACAUAUGUGCUCUGUCCACAAAAUGUUACAUGUGAUCCUGAACGGUACAGAACUUGUCACUGAGAUAGUGGGGAUUUUUGCAGAUCUUUCAGGUAUAUAGGGAAUUACUCUGAACUUCCAUGGUUGAUCUUCAGUUUUAUUCAGACUGAUGCAUAAUUAGUGCAAUCAAACUACUGCACUUCAAAAAGGGGAGCAGUUCUUUCUGAAUAGUAGGUAUAAGGAAUGGACCUCUUAUCCCAACAGAUGCUUUAUAAACCAACCAGCAGGGAGAAUCUUUCUAUUUCCCGGAAAAUUAGGAAAAUGUUUUCCUUUAGAAACUGUGAGAUGUUUUUGUAAUAUACAUGUCCUUCCAUGUACCUUACUAUUGUACUCUCAACGAGACAUCAAUUCAGCUUAAAGGUAGAUAGAACCUGUAGCCUGUGGAUGAACUUCUUAUUAGAAAAGGUACAGAAAAAAAGAACUACCAAGCCGAGUUUUUUCUUGAUCAUUUACCAACCCUUUCCUGUUUCUUAGUUUCGUCUAAUGAUUAAUUAAGAGGGUUGACCAGGUCAUUGAUAAGUAUAAUAUCCAAAUACCAAAUACGCUCAGUGUGUGGUCCACAGAAAGAAAAAGGAGUUGUUUUUGUGAACAUCAAAACCGCUACGCUAGCAGCGUGUCGCUUCAUGCCUGUACUGUAAAAGAACUCUGUGCAAAUACUUUGGAAACCUUUACAAAUACAUAAAUCUGAAUGUGGCCGACCCAGCGGGGACAAUGCAGAGGACAGCGGGAAGAUGUUUGGAGCGGCAACGCCACCUCCAAACAGAUAAGUUAUCGCACGGGGCUAGCAAUUCGUCGCGCUCAAACGUGUGGUGGCAGCGGAGAAUUUGGGGGAGAAUUGGUGAAGAGGUUGGAGAGAGGAUGGUAAGUUAUAGUAUAUGGAAAUAAUCACUGAUGGGUUGAGUUCCCAAGAAACAAUCAGCGCGACGUCCUAAAUAUUCCCAAGAAAUUUUCCAACAAGUACAAAGUAAACACAUAUUAUUGUCUCUUAUUUAUUCAAAGCUCUUCUUUCAUCAUGAGAAAACACACAUCCAGUACAUUCUUCAAGCUAAUGAGGAAAUGCGGAGGAGGUGGUUGCGUGUGGAGGUGGGCAGUGGGCUUUGCAAAUUUCCAUUGUCGGGUAGCAAAUAUCAUAGGGGCGGCAGCUAUAGCACGUUGCAGAACCAUAGCACCCGUGUUGGUAGUCAGGUUGCACGCCUAUUCCCCGACCUGUGAAAAUGCCAAGAAAUAUAUACUAUUGCCAUGUGUGCUAGCUAACUUGGCUGAUCUGACGCUCCAUGUGCGGCAAGUUAGUUUCUGCUGUCUGGGUGAAGCUCUGUGUGUGUUCAGUCUUCAGAAUUCUGCCUCCAAUUGGUGUACACUUGUAGCUGUUUGUCCAUUGCUUGGCUCGAUUUACUCACUGCUCAACUUCUUCGUGCCUUCUGUUGAGGGCUGCUGGUCGAUUUUGGUUUCCCAAUGGAUAACAACAUUUUGAGUUGGAACAUCAGAGGGUUAAAUAACCCUGCCAGACGGAAAAUUAUGGCAAAUUUUGUUCAGAAUCAUCACUGUAGACUGGUCUGCGUUCAAGAGACCAAACUGAACCUCAUCAACAACCAAGUGAUCUCUGAAUGUCUGGGGAGCCGUUUUGUUGACAACUUUGCAUACCUCCCAGCUGAUGGUACCCGUGGUGGAAUUCUUAUAGCUGCUUCUGCUGAUCACCUGAAGAUAACAAACCUUGCGCAUCUCUCUGGCACGUACUCUUUGACUGUGAAGGUCACAGACCUCUCUUGCAAUUUUGACUGGAUGGUUACUGGGGUCUAUGGGCCACAAGCUGAUAAUGAGAAAUCCAACUUUUUGCUGGAAAUGUGACACCUCAAAACUGUUUGCUCUCCGGAAUGGCUUAUACUUGGAGACUUCAAUCUAAUCAGCAGGGCAGAAGAAAAGAACAACCAAAACAUCAACCUGAGAAUGCUCCGAAGCUUUAGAGCAGCGAUUGAUGAUCUCAACCUCAAAGAGUUACCUCUCACUGGACGACGGUUCACAUGGUCCAAUGAGAGGCUCAACUGCACUAUGACAAAGAUUGACAAGGCUCUUUUUACCGAGGAGUGGGAGGCUAAAUUCCCUGAUUUCCAAAUGCUUGCUGGGUCUACUGAAAUCUCUGACCACUGCCCCCUCAUUCUCAAAAAACUCAGUAACAAGAGAUUCCCUGGUUUCAGAUUUGAAGCUUGGUGGGCAACACAACAAGGGUUCAAAGAAACUGUUGAUCAUCUUUGGAAAAAAAACCUUCUCCUGUUCCGAUCACAUUCGCCGGCUACACAUUAAGCUCACGAGGACGGCAAAAGGCCUCAGGAAAUGGAGUAAGCAGAUUUUGAAAGAAAGCAAAUUGGCUGCAGAUAUUGCAUCCGAGGUGAUCUUCCAGCUGGAUGUUGCACAAGAAUCUCGGCCUCUGUCUGUUGAGGAACUAAAGUUGCGCGUCUUUCUCAAGUCCAGAUUACUUGCACUAGCUGCAAUUGAGAAGAUCAAGUGGCGCCAACGAUCUAGGUUGAUUUGGAUCAAAGCUGGAGAUGCAAAUACGAGGUUAUUUCACAUAAGAGCUAAUGGUCGACGAAGAAAGAAUCACAUUCCCUUCCUGCAUGUGGGUAAUAGAGUUGCAACUGAUCACAAUGACAAAGCUGGGGUUUUAUUUGAUCACUUCAACACCCUGAUGGGGCAACGCCAACCUGCUGACAAUUGCUUGAACUGGGAAUACAUCAAUAUGCCUUCCCUUGACCUAAGCCAUCUUGAUCAGCCCUUCACUCUUGAGGUUGCAGACUGCUAUACUUGAUAUCGGCGCCGAGAAGGCGCCGGGGCCUGAUGGGUUUAUCGGGACAUUCUUCAAAAAAUGUUGGCACACUGUAAAGAUUGACCUGCUCAAUGCGGUAAAUCAGAUGUCUGCUCUUGAUGGCAAGCACUGGAACCUUCUCAACACGGCAUAUAUCGUGCUUAUCCCUAAGAAAGAGAAUGCCCUAAGACCUCAGGACUAUAGGCCCAUCAGUUUAACUCAUAGCAUUGCAAAAAUUCUCGGGAAAUUACUUGCCAGCAGAGUUGCUCCAGAACUACAACACAUCAUCUCAGCUAGCCAGAGUGCUUUCUUAAGGGGAAGAAGUAUUCAAGAGAAUUUUCUUUACGUCCAAAACCUCAUACAUAAUCUACACCUUGCAAAGAAACCCACCUUAUUCCUGAAGCUAGAUAUUGCAAAAGCUUUCGAUUCGGUCAAGUGGGAUUAUCUUCUCGAUGUUUUGAAGCAUGUGGGAUUCAGCCAGAGAUUCCGAGAUCUGAUAGCUAUCUCACUUGCCUCUACCUCUUCGCGGAUCAUCCUAAAUGGUGCUCCUGGUACACCUUUUCUGCAUCGCCAAGGACUGAGACAAGGUGACCCGCUUUCGCCGUUGCUGUUCUUGCUAGCCAUCGAUCCACUACAGAGAAUUCUUGACAAAGCUACGGAGGAACAUAUUCUCAGCCCAAUCAACCAUCACACUGCAUCUGUCAGAAUCAGCCUUUACGCAGACGACGCUGCCCUGUUCAUGAAUCCUGUCAAAGCUGAAGUGUCUGCUCUUCAAACCAUCCUUGCUGCCUUUGGAAAGAUCUCUGGCCUUUGUACAAACUUCAGCAAAUCUGCAGCAUACCCAAUUGGGUGUGAAAACCAGGUUAUUGAUGAGGUUCUAGCUGACUUUGAGGGCGAAACCAGCUCCUUACCAUGCAAGUACCUUGGGCUACCUUUGAGUAUUUGCAAGCUUCAAAGGGUGGAUUUUCAAAUGCUCAUUGAUAAAGUUGCAGCAAAGCUUGCGGGCUGGAAGGGCAAAUUACUUAACAAGAAGGGGCGGCUGGCCCUUAUCAACUCUGUGUUAACCUCCUUGACAACAUACUAUCUGACCAUUUUUGCGCCAUCCAAAUGGGUUGUAAAGAGGAUUGACAAACUUCAAAGAAGCUUCUUGUGGAAAGGAGAAGAAGAGGCCAAAGGAGGCCAAUGUGCGGUCAAUUGGCAACAAGUCUGUUCCCCCAAAAAACUUGGGGGUCUUGGAGUCAAAAAUCUCAAUUUUUACAGCAGAUCCUUGAGGUUAAGAUGGGCUUGGUACUCUUGGAAAUACCCCAACAGGCCUUGGGUUGGAUCGCAACUCCCUUGCACUUGUACUGACAUGCAGCUAUUCAACACCUCCACAACUGUCAAGCUCGGCGACGGUCAAAGGGCCAAGUUUUGGAGUAGUACGUGGUUAAGUGGAACAGCUCCUAAGGACAUUUCCCCAAACCUCCACAAGCUUGCAAGGAGGAAAAAUUCUUCUGUGGCUGCUGCUCUCCACCAAGGCCGCUGGAUGAAAGGAAUCGAACGUCUUAGCACCACUGAAGACCUGCUUUCUUUUAUUGACCUUUGGCACCGGAUUCAAGGGAUUACUCUUUCGGAUCAUCCAGACGACAUUGAAUGGAAAUGGAACGACAGCAAAACGUACACUGCUGCAACUGCCUAUGAUGCCCAAUUCAUCGGAACCAUUGCGAAGCCAGAGUUAAAUGCCAUUUGGAAAGCAAAGGUGGAGGGAAAAAUCAAAUUUUUUGCUUGGCUGCUAGCUCAAAAUAGACUGCCAACUGCUGAUCGUCUCCGUGCGAGAGGAUGUGAACACAAUGACACCUGCUCCCUCUGCGAUCAAAUGAUUGAGAUUGCCGCCCACCUGAUCAGUUCCUGCCCUUUUGCAAAGGAAGUGUGGCAGAAGAUUAUUGUCAUGCUCCCUAACUGUCGGCUACAAACAACCUUGCCGUUCACCUCUACCACAUCCUGGUGGAGAAGCUUUGCCUACGGGCAGCAAAACAAGGCAGCAGCUGCGCUUUACUUCGCCUGGAACAUCUGGAAUGAGCGAAACCGAAGAAUCUUUCAAAACCUUUCUUCAACUGCUGAUAUGGUGGCUUGCUUAGUCAGGUCUGACUUAACAUACCUGGACUUGGCUUUUUCGAGGCCUCUAGCUAUGUAAUUCUGUUUUUUUUCUCUUUUUGUCUGCCCUAGGGUUUCAGACUUCUCUCUUGUAAAUUCCUAAUCUAUAAUGAAAAGGCAGAGCACAUGCCAUUAGCCCUCAAAAAACACGGUAUAUUAAUCGUUCCGUCGCCAGGGUUCGGGUAAUCAGACAACCUAUAAUUAAGAAAAUCACCGAAUUACAUAAACAAGAGAAGAAGGUGCUGCGUCUGUGCCACUUACAUUCUGAAUAGAUAGCAAAGCAUACGAGAAGGAACAAUAUUGCCUGGACGCGCAUCGUGCACUUCUCCAUGAUGCUAGGUAGACGAGUACGGUUUCAGCGAUUGUUGGCAGGCUGGUUUUGGUUGAAACUAAUGGCCGGAUGCUAGCAUAUAUAUAGCGUCAGCUUGAUGCACAUAUAUGGAGGAGCUAUUAAGUGAUAUAAAGAUUGAUUGGAUAUUGGCAUGGAUUAAUCACGCUUUAUUUCUUUCCAAAGUUAGUACAUUUGGCCCCUACGCGCGAAUGGAUUGAUUGCCCUUUAUUUCUUUCCAAAUUUAGUACCUAUUUGGCCUUGGGUAUGAAUAGGGGUGGUUAUGGACUACUUGGACUGUACCAUUUUGUUAGGACGACGAUAACUGUCACACGUGUGAGCGUUAAGGGGUCUGCGCACACGUUUUGUGUGGUGUCUAAGAGGAACAACCCACGCGCCUACGUGUGGGCAAAACAACUAGCGCCCACACACCUUUUUUCUCUCUCGCGGUCCCUCUCACACGUCUACGUGUGGGCAAAAAGGAUAACCUCUCUCAGCCACCUACCUCACGGUCCCGCACACCCCACGUGACAGUCACCACGCGUCUCCGCAGUUGCCAUGGUCUGGACCCUCUUCAAUGUCCGUUUAACUGCAGUUGCCAUGUCGCUGAACUACAGUUGCCAUGUCGGACAACUACAGUUACCACGGUUGCUCAACUGCAGUUGCCAUCUCAGCUUAAGUGUCAGAUGCCAUUUUGGACAACUGCAGUUGUUGCCAUGUAUGGUCUGGUUUACUAUAGUUGCCAUGAUUUGAAAACUUUAGGGGUUGCCACCUACUAACACUAGGCAGUUGCCAUGUAUGGUCUGGUUUACUACAGUUGCCAUGAUUUGAAAACCUUAGGAUUUGCCACCUACUAACACUAGGCAGUUGUCAUGUAGCGCUACAAAGAGACAUGGCAAAAUAAAAUGUUUCGGGUAAAGAGAGAGUUGACAUCUGCUUACAAACACACUAGGGCAGUUGCCGUGUACCCUGCAAAACACAUGGCAACUAACAUGUUCGGGUAAAAAAAAGAGUUGCCAUCUGCUUACAAGCAUACUAGGGUAGUUGCCAUGUACACUGCAAAACACAUGGCAACUGGCAGCUUUGGGUGUGGGAGAGGAGACGGGCGUGUGGGCGAGAUGGCAAAUGCCCACACACCAGCCCUUGUGCGUGAGUGGAAAGUGGCGUGUGGGCGAACUGCUGAACGCCCACUCACCGGCCCCUCCCGUGUUGUGAAACGGCCGUGUGGGCGACCGGGUGAAUGCCCACACCAGCCCAGUCCUACGUGGCACUAGAAACAUGCCAAGAUUCGUGCGCUAACAAAUGGACGCAGAUCCACGCGUGUGGGCGAGAUGCAAACGCCCACACGUGUGGGCGUUAGUGUUUCCGUUUUGUUAUUUGUAUAUUAUUAUUAUGCUGUAUCUUUUUUUUUUGCCAAAAUAUACACGGCAUAUUUUUUUUCAUGGUAAUACACGUCUCAUUCAUAUCAUAAAGAUACAAGUCAUGUAAAGACCGACAUGAUAUCCCUCCCUCCCCCCCAACCCCCGCGCGCGCGCAAAAAAAGACCGACAUGAUAAAACUGAAAAUAUAGCAUAACGUCUCUGAGCUUGACACCAACGUCCGUCGCCCGCCUCCGGCACCGCCACAACAACCACCAAAAAAAAAA
RNAcentral lists this long non-coding RNA (14708 nucleotides) under Triticum aestivum (bread wheat). RNAcentral's name for it is "long non-coding RNA (TAES_LNC009380)". Lineage: Eukaryota; Viridiplantae; Streptophyta; Magnoliopsida; Poales; Poaceae. The record is from RNAcentral.